ACAUCGAUGGUGAAACGGUAUCAUGCUUGCCUUCCAAGAGGAGCAACUCUUAGCAAGCGGCACGGGUUCGACUCCCGUUCGAUGUA
Molecule: transfer RNA, 86 nt
Organism: Pleurotus ostreatus PC15
Lineage: Eukaryota; Fungi; Basidiomycota; Agaricomycetes; Agaricales; Pleurotaceae
Rfam family: tRNA
About the family: Transfer RNA (tRNA) molecules are approximately 80 nucleotides in length. Their secondary structure includes four short double-helical elements and three loops (D, anti-codon, and T loops).
Source: Rfam